Molecule: ribosomal RNA, 279 nt
Filed under: uncultured bacterium
Lineage: Bacteria
Description: partial 16S ribosomal RNA
Rfam family: Bacterial small subunit ribosomal RNA
Source: RNAcentral
UGCCAGCAGCCGCGGUAAUACGGAGGGGGUUAGCGUUGUUCGGAAUUACUGGGCGUAAAGCGUACGUAGGUGGUUCAGUCAGUCAGAUGUGAAAGCCCCGGGCUCAACCUGGGAAUUGCACCUGAUACUGCUGGACUAGAGUACGGUAGAGGGUAGUGGAAUUUCCUGUGUAGCGGUGAAAUGCGUAGAUAUAGGAAGGAACACCAGUGGCGAAGGCGACUACCUGGACGGGUACUGACGCUGAGGCGCGAAAGCAUGGGGAGCAAACAGGAUUAGAUA